CCGUAGAUACAGUAACUUUCCAUCAUAACAAAUAUGGCGGACGUGUCAGUUACGGUACAUUUUGGAAAACUUCAAAUGAACGUUUUCUAUGUAAAUAGAUAUGAACGAAAGGCUGGACACAUUUGAGAACCUCACGAACAUUGAGGUUGUAAGAAGAUAUCGGUUAGAUAAGGAUGGCAUCGAUCGCCUUAAUCAAGAAUAUGGUGAACGUUUAUCACCUAAAACACUUGGGCCAAAGAAUGUCUCUUCUUUAGAGAAAAUCCUUAUCACCCUACGCUAUUUUGCUCCGGUGAUUUCCAGAUAAAUGAUGGUAACAUUCAUAAUUUGUCGCAGCCAUCAGUGUCAAGGGCUGUGACACAGUUCACUGAGAUGCUCGCUAGCAGGGAAACUACAUCAAGAUUUAUAUUGUUCCCUCUAAAUAUGCAUGAUGUCAGCAGGGUAAAGACGGAUUUCCAAGGCAUAGCCAACUUUCCAAAUGUUGUUGGCGUUGUGGAUGGCACUCAAGUGCAGAUGUGCAGGAUGCAUAUGUCAAUAGAAUGGGAUAUCAUUCUAUCAAUACCCAGAGCUCACAUAAUAACAAGAUCAAAAGUCGAAAGGGGAAUAGGCCAACUGAAAAGAAGAUGGGGAGUGCUGCAUGGCGAAAUUCGUUUGAAACCUGAAAAGGCUUGCCAGUAAGUAAUUAAUUUAUUUCCCAAAAACAAAACAUUAUUUUUAGUUUCAUGGAAGUCCCUCAUUACCGAAAAUCAAGUUAAGGCGGAAAGUGUUGUCCCUGAUUAGCCUGUGCGGACUGCACUGGCUAAUCUGGGACGACACUUUUGCUCAUGCAUUAUGCCUAGUUUUCUCAGAACAAGACACAUAUAAUUGUAUGUGUUAGGAAAUGUUUUCAAACAAAAUGCAGAUAUUUCAUGUGAACAAAAGUGUUUUCAUUGUAAAAAAUAAAUUAAAUUUUCAUUACAACAAAUGCUAUUUUGAAAAGUUUUGAAUUUUUUCUAUAGACUAAGGAUUUUGAUAUUAACUAAAAUAAAAGCUUAUGAUCAAAAUGAAAAUUAAACAUGUAUGGUGACAUCACCUCGAGUUGGUCAUUGUCGUGACAGCUGCAGUGACACCUGACAAAGACAAUUCAUUUGUCAUACUUUGACAUAUGUACAAGACUGAGCAAAUAAAUGUACUUUGGGUUAUAGAGUUAAUUUAUUAUCAUUCAAUAAGUGGAGAAGUGUUAAUCUUUUUGAUACCCUUUGUUGUAAAAAAAUAUUUUGUACAAAGUAACAAUGGUAUUUACUAUUUUUUUUACAAUGAGUUAUUCUUUUGUUUGAUUGAUAGGGGUAGAGUGGGGACGGGUACUGGUAAGACUGGUGUAGAUUUUUGUUUAAACAACCUUCUAAAAUAAAUAUUUUUAUUAUUUAUAAGACCUAAUGGAUGUGUGGUUAAAAUUAUGUAACCACAUUUAUGAAUUCUUUUUAUGUCCCCCACUAUAGUAGUGGGGGACAUAUUGUUUUUGCCCUGUCUGUUGGUCUGUCUGUCUGUUUGCGCCAACUUUAACAUUUUGCAAUAACUUUUGCUAUAUUGAAGAUAGUAACUUCAUAUUUGGCAUGCAUGUGUAUCUCAUGAAGCUGCACAUUUUGAGUGGUGAAAGGUCAAGGUCAUCUUUCAAGGUCAGAAGUCAAAUAAAUGUGGCCCUUAUCGCUUAUUUUAUAAAUACUUUUGCAAUAUUGAAGAUAGCAACUUGAUAUUUGGCAUGCAAGUGCAUGUCAUGGAGCUGCACAUUUUGAGUGGUGAAAGGUCAAGGUCAAUGUCAUCCUUCAAGGUCAGAGAUCAAAUAUAUGUGGCCCAAAUCGCUUAUUUUAUGAAUACUUUUGCAAUAUUGAAGAUAGCAACUUGAUAUUUGGCAUGCAUGUGUAUCUCAUGGAGCUGCACAUUUUGAGUGGUGAAAGGUCAAGGUCAUCCUUCACAAUGUCAAAGUCAUCCUACAAGGUCAAACAUCAUAUAGGGGGACAUUGUGUUUCACAAACACAUCUUGUUCAAUCAUAAAUGAGUUUUAUUUUUGAUUUAUUUUAAACUUGUUACCUCAGUGUAAUGACUAUUCAAACAACUAAAUUUUUGAAGGUGUAUUGUUACACCAUUACCAAUAGGUUUUUACUUUACAACAAAAUUAAACAAAAGCAACAUUGUUAAAAAUGACAUGAUAGUCUCAAUUUUUUUGAUACUUUACAUGAAGAGGACUUUAUUUUCAAAGUGAUAUAUAAGGCAUAUGAACAAAACAAUGAGUACUUAUUUUAACGGUAUUAAAGCAUUAACAUUUAUAAUAUUCUUUUCCUUAUAUAUUUGUUUAUUUCUAUUCUCAUUUUGCAAUUAAUUGAUGACUACCCGAGGCUGUUUGCUAUAAACACUGUAUUAUGCAAUAAAGAAUAUGGUAUGGUAUGGUACCUGUCAAUGCACGGUCUCUUAUGUAAUCUGUAUAAAUGAGACGGUGCUUGGCAACCAUGUUUAGCCACUUUUUUUCCAGCUUUUCUGCCGUCCUGUUUUUAGUUGCUUUUUGAUUGAACUUAGUUUAAACCAUCUCCCACAUCUGCUUGUUUGUUUGACUUGUUAUUCCAGUUAUUAAAUACAUAACUUGUAUUCAUUAAACAAUCACUUACUAUGUACAUAGCUUUGAUUGCUUUAUAUUGGCUUAACCGGUAUAUGUAGCAACUAAUGCAAAUAAAUUGGUGUCAAGA
Molecule: long non-coding RNA, 2714 nt
Organism: Dreissena polymorpha
Lineage: Eukaryota; Metazoa; Mollusca; Bivalvia; Myida; Dreissenidae
Exons: 3
Source: RefSeq, a predicted model, not a curated record